RNAcentral lists this ribosomal RNA (143 nucleotides) under uncultured eukaryote. RNAcentral describes it as "partial small subunit ribosomal RNA". It matches the Rfam family "Bacterial small subunit ribosomal RNA", at positions 1383 to 1525 of the family's 1533-position model. The record is from RNAcentral.
GUACACACCGCCCGUCGCACCACGAAAGCCGAUUGCAGAAGAAGCCGGUGAGCUAACCUUCGGGAGGCAGCCGUCCACUCUGUGAUUGGUAAUUGGGGUGAAGUCGUAACAAGGUAGCCGUAGGUGAACCUGCAGAAGGAUCA